Molecule: ribosomal RNA, 101 nt
Filed under: Chinchilla lanigera (long-tailed chinchilla)
Lineage: Eukaryota; Metazoa; Chordata; Mammalia; Rodentia; Chinchillidae
Source: RNAcentral
GUUUAUGGCCAUACCACCUUGAAUGCGCCCGAUCUCAUCUGAUAUCAGAAGCUAAGCAGGGUUAGGCCUGGUUAGUACUUUGAUGAAAGAGAUAAUAAAUU